This 313-nucleotide ribosomal RNA is filed under the name uncultured bacterium. Its description in RNAcentral is "bacterial SSU rRNA". It matches the Rfam family "Bacterial small subunit ribosomal RNA", at positions 28 to 334 of the family's 1533-position model. The record is from RNAcentral.
GAUGAACGCUAGCUACAGGCCUAACACAUGCAAGUCGAGGGGCAUCGGGAGGGAAGCUUGCUUCCCUUGCCGGCGACCGGCGCACGGGUGAGUAACGCGUAUCGAACCUGCCCCAUACCCGGGGAUAGCCUUGCGAAAGUAAGAUUAAUACCCGAUGGUUUCCUUUUAUCUCCUGAUAGAGGGAAUAAAGAAUUUCGGUAUGGGAUGGCGAUGCGUCCGAUUAGCUAGUUGGCGGGUAACGGCCCACCAAGGCGACGAUCGGUAGGGGUUCUGAGAGGAAGGUCCCCCACAUUGGAACUGAGACACGGUCCAA